Long non-coding RNA from Aethalodelphis obliquidens (Pacific white-sided dolphin), 1483 nucleotides. RefSeq lists it as uncharacterized. The transcript is spliced from 3 exons. Lineage: Eukaryota; Metazoa; Chordata; Mammalia; Artiodactyla; Delphinidae. The record is from RefSeq and is a predicted model, not a curated record.
UCACUGAAAGCAGAGCUGGGAAGAGAUGGGCAGCAGUAGCCUGUCAUUAUAUAGUAGUUCCACCACACAGGUACCGUGGACGACAUUACAUACUCAGCCCUUUGAAGUCUCCAGCCCGAAUAUGACGGAUGCGGUUGAAGCGGGCGUACAGUUCUGAACCCCAGCAGAGUGUCAACCCCCUACCGGCGGAUAUGCCAGCAUACCAGAGUCUCCAGGAGGGCCUCAAGGAGAGGGAAAAGCUGCUAACGAGGGAAUUCAAGCUGAAAAGCAGUAUGACUACUUCAUUUGCCCCCAUGCCAAAUGACGGCCACAAAGUUAUUUAUUCUUCUCUACAGGCCUUUAAUUGUCUCUAAUCUAAUUAUCACUCAACCUGCUCCCCCAGCGACGCUAUUAAUUAAGGUAGGUGGCUUUUCUAGGCACAGCGGAGUUCUUGCAUUUCUUUGCUUCCUAUCCAGUUUGUGCACUCAGGAAGAAGCAUUAGGAACAGCCAGGCUCUCCCUUUGUUUUCUUUUUUCCUCCCCUGCAGCUGUUUCCCCUUCUCUCCCUGAUCCUCCACUCCACAUAGCUCUGACUGCACUCCUCUUUGGCACCCCUGGUGCUGGGUUAUGGCUGCCGGCCCAUGACCUGUGGCUAUUGAGACCUGUGCCUGUGAACUUACCAUGGCUGGUCAGGGAAACCAGCAGGCCCCGCGUCGUAGGCCUGGCCAUUGUGGGGUUUGAAGGGGGUGUCCUUGGAGCCCUUGUGCUCUGAGAGAAACUUGUCCUGGUUGGAGAAGCCAGGCUGGUCCCUUUAACCUGGAGACACAGUAUACAGUAAGCCAGCUUUGAGGGGCUGAGAGGGACUUCACUUUGGAUUCUGGGAACUUCAGCGACCAAUUUCAAGCUUGCAAAGAGUCACUGUGGAAAACGAGGGAGGGACGGCAGGAAGAGUGAACAAGGCAAGGGCCUUCUGAGCAUCUGGUCCCUCAUCAUGACGUGGAUGAGGAAACUGAGGUCCAGAUGGGGAGGGACUGAGCUCAAGGGGCCGUCUGGUGGCAGAGCCAGAACCACAUCUCCAGACCCCCCAGACUGGGCUUUUCCCUUGCCCGCACAGACCAAGGUCAGACAGCAGAUGAGUGCAGACUUCAGAUCAGUCCCUGCAAAGGCCAGAAAGGGCUGAAAAAUGAAUUUCAGAACUGAAGAUAGUCUAAGAAAAGACAGGUUGUAGCAUUCCUUUUUCCAAGGGAGAAUGUGAGGACAUUGCUGUUGUCCCAGUGAGAUACACCUUAUGGUCUUGAAGGCAGAGGGAAGGAGGGAUGUAUGACUUCUAAGGGAAGUCCCACAAAAUUUGCUACAAACAGACAAAGAACUUGAAGUUUUGUGUCCUCUUUCUUAGUAUUAUCUAAACGACAAGUUCCUGUGGAGGGAUAAGAAUUUCCACCUCCUAGAGAAAGUUGGAGGCUUGAGAUACCUGCAUUAUGGAACAGGUAGAGAGGGACCAGGCC